Long non-coding RNA from Hordeum vulgare subsp. vulgare (domesticated barley), 1393 nucleotides. RefSeq lists it as uncharacterized. The record is from RefSeq and is a predicted model, not a curated record. Lineage: Eukaryota; Viridiplantae; Streptophyta; Magnoliopsida; Poales; Poaceae. The transcript is spliced from 3 exons.
CUCUUCGUUGAUUCGCUGAAUUUAGGUGGAUGGGUUUCAUUGUCAGAAAUGAACAAGGUGGAGCUGGAGCUGGAUCCAUCAUUUUUCUUUCUUUCGAGAAUGACGAUCCAUCAAAUUUCAAACCUGAAGCUGCCAGACAGAGUUGGCUCCAGGAGAUGUCGAGUCGGUCUGUCAGUGGCCUACGUUGGAGUUAAAUGUAUAUAACCCCCUGAACUCCCAGAUUUGGAGUACAUCACCCCCUGGACUCAAUUUUGGCUCACUUAAUCCCCUAAAUCUGCACAAACCGGGCAAAGCACCCCCUGACGACUCUCCUGGUGGUUUGGGACGGCUGUUUUGCGGACGUGGAAAGGGGCCGGUGCCAUGUAGGCUUGGACCUGGUGGACUCGGUGUAGUUGCGACCAGACCAUCUCGAUUCCAUCGAGUGCCCACCUUUUUUCCUUCCUCUCUCCCUCUCCCUCUCUACAGGCGACGCCGCCGGCGAUUUGAGCGACCACGACGGCGAUGGUGAGGAGCACCGGCAUGCCCUGAAGGAUCUCACCGACGGCGGCCAUCAGGUGUAAGGCAUGGAUCCAUUGGAUUAUCUCUCUGUCAGAUUUCCUUCAGGUGUAAGGCAUGCAAAAUCAGUGCAGAUGAUGGCAAGUCAUGUCACUGAUGCUGGUGUACUGGAUAUCUAUGCUACUGUGCCUAGAGAUGUUAGUUCAGAAGCAAGUGGUUGGAAGGAACAACUAUCAGCAAAACAAGCAAGUUUAGAGACUGAAACACUGCACAUUCAGGCAAGACAAACAGAGCAAACAGAGAAUAUUCAGAGAGAAGAAACAUGGCAUGUUCAGAGAGAGGAAACAGAGGAAAUUCAGCAGUGUGGCAAGGUGUCAAAACUACCAGUUUUCAGGCCUUAAAAAUCAUUUGUGGCUAGUGCAGAUAGUGAUAGUGACAGUGAUUAUGAUGUUCCUCCAACAGAGAGCAACAGUUCCGCAGAUGAUGAUGAGGUAAUUGAGUACAGAAAAUAUGCUCAAGAAUUCAAGGAGAACAAAAGAAAGAAGAUGCUUGGGGAAGAAAAUGGAAAGACUUGCAAUGUGCUAAACAGUUUUAUUGUCCCAGAAACAUGUAAGGAACGGAGGAAGUAGAUGAAAGUGAUGGAGAUGAAACACCAUAUUUUGAGAGUGAUGAUGAUAUGUCCUAUGACGAGGGUAGUGAUGGAGAAGUCAGUGUUGUCCGGAGCCUCUACGUUGUGAAGCCCUGGCACUACUUGAAGCUGUGCAAAUCACUUCAGCGAUGGGAGCUCGCAAUGGAUGCAUUUCUCUGUUUUUAAAAUUUGUAAUGGAAUGAAAGAGAGACGCAAUUUACACUUGUGUAACUGUUCCAGAAGCACAAUUUACUACAUGAUUUGUACUAA